Molecule: ribosomal RNA, 273 nt
Filed under: Triticum aestivum (bread wheat)
Lineage: Eukaryota; Viridiplantae; Streptophyta; Magnoliopsida; Poales; Poaceae
Description: partial small subunit ribosomal RNA
Source: RNAcentral
AUGAGUUCAUCGUGGACAGCAAAACAGAACAAGAUCUUUGAGACGGCACUAGCGACGUAUGACGAGGACACACCAGACCGCUGGCAGAAGGUGGCACGAGCAGUCGGUGAUGGGAAGUCAGUCGAUGAAGUGAAGAGGCACUAUGAAGAGCUGCUGAAGGACCUGCAUCACAUUGAGUAUGCAGGAGGCCGUCGCGGAUCCCUCUACAACAUCUCCGGCGCUAGCAGUAGCAACAGCAACUCCUGGGGCAGUGCCAAUGAGGACCACAGGUAA